Molecule: ribosomal RNA, 1047 nt
Filed under: human gut metagenome
Description: bacterial SSU rRNA
Rfam family: Bacterial small subunit ribosomal RNA
Source: RNAcentral
GUAUACUGUUUUGUAUGUAUUAUAUGAAUAAGGAUCGGCUAACUCCGUGCCAGCAGCCGCGGUAAUACGGAGGAUCCGAGCGUUAUCCGGAUUUAUUGGGUUUAAAGGGAGCGUAGGUGGACUGGUAAGUCAGUUGUGAAAGUUUGCGGCUCAACCGUAAAAUUGCAGUUGAUACUGUCAGUCUUGAGUACAGUAGAGGUGGGCGGAAUUCGUGGUGUAGCGGUGAAAUGCUUAGAUAUCACGAAGAACUCCGAUUGCGAAGGCAGCUCACUGGACUGCAACUGACACUGAUGCUCGAAAGUGUGGGUAUCAAACAGGAUUAGAUACCCUGGUAGUCCACACAGUAAACGAUGAAUACUCGCUGUUUGCGAUAUACAGUAAGCGGCCAAGCGAAAGCAUUAAGUAUUCCACCUGGGGAGUACGCCGGCAACGGUGAAACUCAAAGGAAUUGACGGGGGCCCGCACAAGCGGAGGAACAUGUGGUUUAAUUCGAUGAUACGCGAGGAACCUUACCCGGGCUUAAAUUGCAACUGACUGAACCGGAAACGGUUCUUUCUUCGGACAGUUGUGAAGGUGCUGCAUGGUUGUCGUCAGCUCGUGCCGUGAGGUGUCGGCUUAAGUGCCAUAACGAGCGCAACCCUUAUCGAUAGUUACUAGCAGGUCAUGCUGAGGACUCUAUUGAGACUGCCGUCGUAAGAUGUGAGGAAGGUGGGGAUGACGUCAAAUCAGCACGGCCCUUACGUCCGGGGCUACACACGUGUUACAAUGGGGGGUACAGAAGGCAGCUACACGGCGACGUGGUGCUAAUCCCUAAAGCCUCUCUCAGUUCGGAUUGGAGUCUGCAACCCGACUCCAUGAAGCUGGAUUCGCUAGUAAUCGCGCAUCAGCCACGGCGCGGUGAAUACGUUCCCGGGCCUUGUACACACCGCCCGUCAAGCCAUGAAAGCCGGGGGUACCUGAAGUACGUAACCGCGAGGAGCGUCCUAGGGUAAAACUGGUGAUUGGGGCUAAGUCGUAACAAGGUAGCCGUACCGGAAGGUGCGGCUG